This 305-nucleotide ribosomal RNA is filed under the name uncultured soil bacterium. RNAcentral describes it as "bacterial SSU rRNA". It matches the Rfam family "Bacterial small subunit ribosomal RNA", at positions 26 to 355 of the family's 1533-position model. The record is from RNAcentral.
AGAACGAACGCUGGCGGCAUGCCUAAUACAUGCAAGUCGAACGAACACUUCGGUGUUAGUGGCGCACGGGUGCGUAACGCGUGGGAAUCUGCCCUUGGGUUCGGAAUAACAGUUGGAAACGACUGCUAAUACCGGAUGAUAUCGAAAGAUCAAAGAUUUAUCGCCCAGGGAUGAGCCCGCGUAGGAUUAGCUAGUUGGUGAGGUAAAGGCUCACCAAGGCGACGAUCCUUAGCUGGUCUGAGAGGAUGAUCAGCCACACUGGGACUGAGACGCGGCCCAGACCUCCGUACGGGAGGCAGCGAGGU